GACAGAGGGUGCAAACGUUGUUCGGAAUUACUGGGCGUAAAGCGUGUGUAGGCGGCCAAGCAAGUCGGAUGUGAAAGCCCAGGGCUCAACCCUGGAAGUGCACUCGAUACUGCAUGGCUAGAGUAUCGGAGAGGUUGGUGGAAUUCUCGGUGUAGAGGUGAAAUUCGUAGAUAUCGAGAGGAACACCGGCGGCGAAGGCGGCCAACUGGACGAAUACUGACGCUGAGACACGAAAGCGUGGGGAGCAAACAGG
This 253-nucleotide ribosomal RNA is filed under the name uncultured bacterium. RNAcentral describes it as "partial 16S ribosomal RNA". It matches the Rfam family "Bacterial small subunit ribosomal RNA", at positions 524 to 776 of the family's 1533-position model. The record is from RNAcentral.